RNAcentral lists this ribosomal RNA (253 nucleotides) under uncultured bacterium. RNAcentral's name for it is "partial 16S ribosomal RNA". It matches the Rfam family "Bacterial small subunit ribosomal RNA", at positions 524 to 776 of the family's 1533-position model. The record is from RNAcentral.
UACGGAGGUGGCAAGCGUUGUUCGGAAUUACUGGGCGUAAAGGGCGCGUAGGCGGCUAGGCAAGUCAGGUGUGAAAGCCCCGGGCUUAACUUGGGAAUUGCAUCUGAAACUGCUGUGCUUGAGUUCUGGAGGGGGUAGUGGAAUUCCCAGUGUAGCGGUGAAAUGCGUAGAUAUUGGGAGGAACACCGGCGGCGAAGGCGGCUACCUGGACAGAAACUGACGCUGAGGCGCGAAAGCUAGGGGAGCGAACGGG